Molecule: ribosomal RNA, 497 nt
Filed under: uncultured bacterium
Lineage: Bacteria
Description: partial 16S ribosomal RNA
Rfam family: Bacterial small subunit ribosomal RNA
Source: RNAcentral
GAUGAACGCUGGCGGCGUGCCUAAUACAUGCAAGUCGAGCGAACAGACGAGGAGCUUGCUUCUCUGACGUUAGCGGCGGACGGGUGAGUAACACGUGGAUAACCUACCUAUAAGACUGGGAUAACUUCGGGAAACCGUAGCUAAUACCGGAUAAUAUUUUGAACCGCAUGGUUCAAUAGUGAAAGACGGUCUUGCUGUCACUUAUAGAUGGAUCCGCGCUGCAUUAGCUAGUUGGUAAGGUAACGGCUUACCAAGGCAACGAUGCAUAGCCGACCUGAGAGGGUGAUCGGCCACACUGGAACUGAGACACGGUCCAGACUCCUACGGGAGGCAGCAGUAGGGAAUCUUCCGCAAUGGGCGAAAGCCUGACGGGGCAACGCCGCGUGAGUGAUGAAGGUCUUCGGAUCGUAAAACUCUGUUAUUAGGGAAGAACAUAUGUGUAAGUAACUGUGCACAUCUUGACGGUACCUAAUCAGAAAGCCACGGCUAACUACGUG